This 226-nucleotide long non-coding RNA is filed under the name Cicer arietinum (chickpea). Its description in RNAcentral is "long non-coding RNA (CARI_LNC000547)". The record is from RNAcentral. Lineage: Eukaryota; Viridiplantae; Streptophyta; Magnoliopsida; Fabales; Fabaceae.
UCCUCCCAGCUAUUAUCCUUAAAUGUAACAUGUCUAAAAUAACUGGAACGAAUAAAAUUGGCAUCAUGAAAGUAACUAGAAUCCAUUGGAGGACUAGGGUCCCUAGAGAUGUUGUUCUACUUCCCUAACCCACUUUAUUAGCAUAGGUCAAAUUGGAUAAUAAAGAUGCCGAAAAAUAUCCAAUAUUUUUACCUUCAUUUAUUCGCCACCAAUUAUGUGUUUUAAG